CAGCCGCCACGGGAAUACAGAGGGUGCGAGCGUUAAUCGGAUUUACUGGGCGUAAAGCGUGUGUAGGUUGUUGUUCAAGUCAGUUGUGAAAUCCCUGGGCUCAACCUGGGAACUGCUUCUGAGACUGAACGACUAGAGUACGGUAGAGGGUGGUGGAAUUUCCGGUGUAGCGGUGAAAUGCGUAGAUAUCGGAAGGAACAUCAAUGGCGAAGGCAGCCACCUGGGCCUGUACUGACACUGAGACACGAAAGCGUGGGGAUCAAACAGGAUUAGAUACCCCGGUAGUCCCUGUCUCUUAUAC
This 301-nucleotide ribosomal RNA is filed under the name uncultured bacterium. Its description in RNAcentral is "partial 16S ribosomal RNA". It matches the Rfam family "Bacterial small subunit ribosomal RNA", at positions 509 to 807 of the family's 1533-position model. The record is from RNAcentral.